This 256-nucleotide long non-coding RNA is filed under the name Gossypium raimondii (Peruvian cotton). Its description in RNAcentral is "long non-coding RNA (GRAI_LNC001493)". The record is from RNAcentral. Lineage: Eukaryota; Viridiplantae; Streptophyta; Magnoliopsida; Malvales; Malvaceae.
UUUUCUUCUUUUGUUUUCUUGACUCAAUUUUUGAUGCGGGUGUGGUGAAUUUUUGCUCGAUAUCUUGUUAGGUGUUCUAAUUCAAUUGGGUAAGAGUGUGAUUUUGUAUAUAUUGCUAGCUGGUGAUUAUUUUUUGGUUUGGUUCUUGAGAUGCUUUAUAAAGGUUGAUUCUUCAUCGGGUGUUGGUCUAACUGGUUUGUUUGAAUCAAAAGAGGAGUGAAUGGCAUCUAACGUUCCUUCACCGAAUUAAGCUUUG